Molecule: ribosomal RNA, 253 nt
Filed under: uncultured bacterium
Lineage: Bacteria
Description: partial 16S ribosomal RNA
Rfam family: Bacterial small subunit ribosomal RNA
Source: RNAcentral
UACGUAGGGGGCAAGCGUUGUCCGGAAUCAUUGGGCGUAAAGCGCGUGUAGGCGGCUCGGUAAGUCCGCUCUGAAAGUCCAGGGCUCAACCCUGGGAUGCGGGUGGAUACUGCCGGGCUCGAGUCCGGAAGAGGCGAGUGGAAUUCCCGGUGUAGCGGUGAAGUGCGCAGAUAUCGGGAGGAACACCAAUGGCGAAGGCAGCUCGCUGGGACGUGACUGACGCUGAGACGCGAAAGCGUGGGGAGCGAACAGG